UAUAUCGAUUUCUUGAAAGAAAACAUUCAACUGAAAAUGACUGAAAGGAACAUAAAAUGGCGAUUUCAAUCAUCAAAACCCACAUUUUUCCUGCAAACACAACACUCCAGAUCGGAGCUUCUAUGGCCAAACAGCUCAAAUAAUGCUAGUCGUUGCCGUCGAUGAUUCCCCCACUUUCCUUUUCUUCUAUUGUCUCAUCCUCUUCCUUUUCUUCCUUGUUCUCUUCCGCUUCGCCCUUCUUUUCUUCUUCCUCCUCCUCCUUUUUCUCCUAUGUUCCGACGUUGUUCACCUCAUCUUUGCUCUCAUAUGUCCUCCUUGAACUCGUUGCAGGAUGCUGAGCGCCCAACGGGGCCUGCCGCUGAAACUGUGAUAGUGUUGGGUCAGCAGGGACGGCUAUGUGGAGGCCGGAGAAGGUCGAGGUGAUGGAGCAGCAUUGCAGGAGAGGCCCACCAGUUACCAUGGUGACUGGUUUUCAGGUCUUCCUCUGUACUAGUGAUCCAGGGAUCCUUUUGAGCUUAAACUUACUGUCUGAUUAUAUAGAUCCAGGUGUUCUUCUGAAGCAUGAUCCCUUACGUGUGUAUAUAUAGUUUACAGAUACUACUGGUAGUGGUUGAAUCAUGGUAUAACAAUAAAUGCUUUUCUAUGCUUUUAGUUGUUUAUGGAUGAAGAAUGUUGUACAGUAAUGAGGUCUUCAUGGUAUUCCCAUAAUGCUUUUGUACUUU
Long non-coding RNA from Sesamum indicum (sesame), 722 nucleotides. RefSeq lists it as uncharacterized. Lineage: Eukaryota; Viridiplantae; Streptophyta; Magnoliopsida; Lamiales; Pedaliaceae. The record is from RefSeq and is a predicted model, not a curated record.